CCUGGGUUAGGUUAGUGGGUCUUAGUGAGUUUGGGUUAAGCUAUUUUGGUCUGUAAUUAGGUAGUUGGGUUAAUAAUUGGGUUGUGAUAUUGAGGCUUAGUGGGUCUGAUGUAUUUUGGGUUUGUAAUAUGGAUUGAUGGACUUUUAAUAAUUUUUGUUUAUUUAUUUAUUUUUGAUUUGGGCAGGGCAAAUUUGGGUUAUUACAGGUUUUUGGUUCCGAAAUGUCUUUUGUAAAAUGGGGAGAAAACCCAUAUUUUUAGGCUGGACUGUUUGGCUUCCCUAAGAGCCAC
RNAcentral lists this long non-coding RNA (290 nucleotides) under Gossypium raimondii (Peruvian cotton). RNAcentral's name for it is "long non-coding RNA (GRAI_LNC002635)". Lineage: Eukaryota; Viridiplantae; Streptophyta; Magnoliopsida; Malvales; Malvaceae. The record is from RNAcentral.